CCGUAACGCGGCGACAGUAAUUCCCGCGCGUCGGGGAUCGAACGAUCCUCUCGAAAAUCGCGCUCGAGCCUCGGCGUUCGAUUCCUUCUGCUAAUCGUUCGCUCGUUAGUAGCGUCGGGACGGACAACAGGCGUUUCAUUGUGGGCCCGGAUGUCGCGCGUUGUCACCUACGCUCAUUGUGCCGCGAAAAUGACCCGUCAGCUCGGAAUACAAUCCAGAAAAAGCUGAAGCUCCGUGAGCUUUGGAUCGACGAGAGGAAUCCCCAAUUUGACGCGCGAUUGUUCCUAUAUCGACUCGCGUUGAGGGUCUCGAAGCACCGUGUAAAAUAUGCAGACUUACGAGUGGUCGGGAGACGAUUUUUCACCGUGGAUGCAGCCGGGUAUUGGACGUGGAGGUGGCGCGGCCCACGCAGGUGGGACAGGUGACGACGAGGCUCCGAAAGAUCCCGGUGCUCGGAUCACUCAUCAGUCUUACACCGAGAAAGACUACGAAGGUCACAGGGCGCACACCGUGUACGUGGGCGUGCAUCUGCCCGGCGAAAGGAGACAUCGUCGUCACCACAAGCACCAUCAUUCCCAACGUCAGUCGUACACCACCGACAAGGAGAAUAAUGUCGACAACGACAGGCCCAUCACACCGCCGGCCCAGAGGGUGCAGUUCAUCCUGGGCGAGGAAGUCGGGGACGAUGCUCACGAGUCCCAUCCACUCUUCUCCGAGAUGGAGGAGCUCGUCAGGGAUGGCGACGAGAUGGAGUGGAAGGAAACAGCCAGAUGGAUCAAAUUCGAGGAGGACGUCGAGGAGGGUGGAAACAGAUGGAGCAAACCUCACGUAGCGACCCUCUCCUUGCACUCCCUGUUCGAGCUGAGAAGCCUGCUGCUAAAUGGCACCGUGAUGCUGGACAUGGAGGCGGCGAGCCUGGAACAAAUCACCGAUCUGGUCCUCGAUAACAUGAUUAAUAAGGGCUCGUUGCCAAUAGAGUCGCGGGAAAAGGUCAGGGAAGCCCUGUUGGUGAGGCAUCGACACCAGCACGAGAGACGCAAGGAAAACAACAUGUCCAGACUGCCGAUCAUAAGAUCGUUGGCCGAAAUCGGACGAAACCACUCAUCGUCGAAGAGUUACAACUGUACAUGUGGUUUGCAUGAGUUGUUGACGUCAGAUUUACAGGAGCGUCGCGACGCUGGGGACGCGUAUGCGCCCUCGGUAGGUCGCAGCAGCAGCUGCCCGAAUUCGAACACGGCUCUGCUCUCGAAAGAAGCGAAAGAUCUGAAAGGACCGUACCUUCUGGUUCCAGGCCAGGAGCCAGCCACCAACGGGAUGGAUCGCAGCCCCAGCAGCGUGUCAAUUAGCAGGAAUCACAGCUCGUCCGCUUUGGAGAACGGAGACGUGAAUCACAGGGGUAACACACACUUCAUGCGAAAGAUACCAGCGGGUGCCGAGGCGAGCAACAUUCUCGUGGGGGAGGUAGAUUUUUUAGAUAAAACCCUGUCGGCGUUCAUUCGGCUCAGCCAGGCGGGGAUCAUGGGCGACCUGACGGAGGUUCCUGUGCCGACGAGGUUCAUAUUUGUCCUGCUGGGACCUACGGGUGGGAUCUCCGGUUUCCACGAGAUCGGUCGCGCCAUGGCCACCCUGAUGUCCGACGAGGUGUUCCACGACGUGGCUUACAAGGCGAAGAACAGGAACCAUCUGCUGGCGGGGAUCGACGAGUUCCUGGACGCUGUCACAGUGCUGCCACCUGGGGAGUGGGAUCCAGCGAUCAGAAUAGAGCCACCCGCCGCGAUUCCGUCGCAGGAGGUGAGGAAGCGACCAAAAGAGGAGAAGCCAAAGGAGGACCUGGACGAGGAGGCGGACGAGCAGAAGCUGAGAGAGGAAUCCGGGCUCUCCAGAUCCGGGAGACUGUUUGGAGGUCUGGUCAACGACGUGAAGAGGAAAGUACCGUUUUAUCUGUCGGAUUUCAAAGAUGCCCUGGCUAUCCAGUGCGUGGCGUCGUUCAUUUUCCUCUAUUUCGCCUGUCUGUCGCCCAUAAUCACGUUUGGUGGCCUGCUGGGCGAAGCCACGGGGAAGAACAUGGCCGCCAUGGAGUCGCUGGUCUCCGGUUUCGUGUGUGGCGUCGGCUACGGUCUCUUCUCCGGGCAACCCUUGACCAUUCUAGGUUCCACCGGGCCGGUAUUAGUGUUCGAGACCAUCGUCUACGAGUUCUGCAAGAAAUCCGAGUGGAACUACAUGUCCUUCCGUUUUUGGAUCGGCUCGUGGAUAGCCUUGAUUCUCUUGAUCCUGGUGGCGAUCGACGCCAGCGCCCUCGUGUGCUACAUCACGCGAUUCACGGAGGAGAACUUCGCCACCCUCAUCGCCUUUAUCUUCAUUUACAAGGCUAUCGAGAACGUGCUGUCGAUCGGGAAGAAGUACCCCAUCAACACUCACGCGAACGACCAGUUCGAUUACGAGUGCUGGUGCAAGCCACCGAACGGCAGUCUGCCCUCCAGCUACGACCACGUAAAUUGGACGGCGCUGGAUCAAAAAGCGUGCCAGAUUUACAAUGGCACGCUGGUGGGCGACGGCUGCAACCAGCCCCACUACAUACCCGAUGUGUUCCUCAUGUCAAUUAUACUAUUCAUGGGCACCUUCUUAUUAUCCGUCGAGCUCAAAGACUUCAAGAAUGCGCUCUUCUUCCCGUCGAAGGUCAGACAGGUGGUCAGCGAUUUCGCGGUGAUCAUCGCGAUCUUCUCAAUGAGCGCAUUGGAUCACAUCGUCAACAUCCCCACCCCAAAAUUGGAGGUUCCUGUGGAGUUCAAGCCGACGUUGCACGACCGAGGAUGGAUCAUCUGGCCUUUCCAACAUAAUCCAUGGUGGAGCGCCAUCGUGGCGAGUCUGCCAGCUCUGCUGGGCACUAUACUGAUCUUCAUGGACCAGCAGAUCACCGCAGUGAUAGUCAACAGAAAGGAGAACAAGCUGAAGAAAGGGUGUGGUUACCACCUGGACCUGUUCAUCCUAGCGAUCCUCAUAGAAGUUUGCUCCGUGAUGGGUCUGCCCUGGUUCGUCGCAGCUACAGUACUCUCUAUCAAUCAUGUGAACUCGUUGAAGCUGGAAUCUGAAUGUGCUGCACCUGGCGAGAAGCCUCAGUUUCUGGGCGUUCGUGAGCAACGUGUCACCCACAUACUGAUCUUCCUGAUGAUCGGUUGCUCUGUCCUCUUGACACCGAUGCUGAAGCAUAUUCCCAUGCCAGUGCUGUUUGGAGUUUUCCUCUACAUGGGCGUAGCCUCCCUGAAGGGGCUGCAGUUCUUCGACAGGAUUCUAAUCAUGCUGAUGCCAGUCAAAUACCAGCCUGACUACAUGUUCCUCCGACAGGUUCCCUUGAAACGAGUGCACCUGUUCACGGCUAUGCAACUGGCUUGUCUGUCGUGUCUGUGGCUGAUAAAGUCCUUCAGCAGUACCUCCAUCCUCUUCCCACUGAUGCUGGUGGUGAUGAUCGGGAUACGCAAGUCCCUGGACCUGGUGUUCACUCAACGCGAGCUGAAGAUCCUGGACGACGUGAUGCCCGAACCGAGCAAGAAGCACGCCGACGAUCUCCGCCAGCUGGAGAGUGGCGAGGAGCAGAACGAGUUGGGGUACGGGCCGUCUGACAACAUACAGAUCUCGUUGGCCAACGGCAACAUCAUGAAAAUCCCUAUGGCGAGCAUCAACAUCAGCGAGGAGGUGAACAAAACUGGGAUUUGGCAGCAGGUGAACGAGUGCAACGAGAAACCGAAGCAACCCAAGUUGAUCAACGCCGGUAAACAAAAGAAGCACUCGAAAAAGGAUAGCUCGUUGAUGGCAGACGAGACUACGAGGCUGACUACGAUGACCGAAGAGGACGAAGACGACAGUGGGAUCUCUAUCAAGGUGACACACGUAAAUGACUCUAAAUUCUAACCACCACCAUCACCAAUCCGAUAAAUCACAUGGCAAGACACACAGCAAGAGCACCAAUACACGGGCAUGCAACAUACCCCCUGUACGCUACUGUAGACCUGAUACGAUCGAAGGAGAGCAUCUGCCCGUUGUCGGUGAAUGGCACUACUUCGGCCGAGACUUCCGUCUAACAGUCCACCAGGAGGUUAGCUACAGACCACCCCUGGACGAUCGAAGAAACUUUCGGUUUUGUCGUAGCCUUAAUUUCGUCGAUUACAUUCCAAGCUUCCAAGAGAGAAACGCUGGUCGAGUGCAAUUAUACAGAGUGCCACCUAGCGGAUUAAAUUCGCGAUAAACGGGAAACGCACACCGUCGAAAUAAACUAGACUUAAGAUUCGACUCGCGAGCGCGACAACAACCGCUGGAUCUCGAACCCACGCUAGCCCCAGCGUGCAAUAACGUUAUUUAUAAUUUUAACAAAAUGAAUAGCCAAAUGUAGUUCGUACCCCGUAGCAAAUAUGCCAAAGAAACCCCUGCAAACGAUACGUCGACGUUUCCUUCGAGGGAUGUCUCGCAAAAAAACGAAGCUUGUCGCCAGAGAUUGUUCGUUCCCUCUCGAAGCUCACGAGACAAGUCGAGAACACCGGCCAGCUGCGACAAUAUUUAAACUAUUACAAAUGUACAGCGAUUUUUUUACGCCCUCAACGGUCGAGAGAACUUCCCCCGCGCUAAAGGAUAACCGGGAAGGUGUUCGUAACGGGAGCAUCGACGUGCGCCACGGAGACAAUUUUUUUCACGUUUUUUAUCGAAAAUCCUAGCUGAAUUAUAAUACGAACGAUGACAAUUUUUAUCGUACUGAUGGUCUUUCACCCAGCGCCCGCAACGAACGUUGCACGGGACAAACUGUUGCUUCCUUGUUUCCGCCGAUCUCCGCUCGACGUGGACGAAACUGGCGCGCGAAUCGCAAGGGGAGAAAAUUUGAUACAAUAUUUUUCAGACGAUUACACAAGCGUUUACACGAACCUUCGAGAGAGACUUUACCGAGAAUAUCGUUGGGACGAGCCAACGUGUUUGAAAGAAAGUGUUGACGUAGUUGACGUAGAAUUAAGAAACAGUUUCAGGAGUAACCGCGUAACGUUUUAUGGAACACUCCUGUGUCGAUGUACGUAUGCGUAUAGCGAAGUAUGGAGCGGCUAG
This is an RNA transcript of Colletes gigas, 5082 nucleotides long. It is a transcript of the gene named sodium bicarbonate cotransporter 3, with no coding region annotated. Lineage: Eukaryota; Metazoa; Arthropoda; Insecta; Hymenoptera; Colletidae. The record is from RefSeq and is a predicted model, not a curated record. The transcript has 21 exons.